RNAcentral lists this ribosomal RNA (497 nucleotides) under uncultured bacterium. Its description in RNAcentral is "partial 16S ribosomal RNA". It matches the Rfam family "Bacterial small subunit ribosomal RNA", at positions 28 to 507 of the family's 1533-position model. The record is from RNAcentral.
GAUGAACGCUGGCGGCGUGCCUAAUACAUGCAAGUCGAGCGAACAGACGAGGAGCUUGCUCCUCUGACGUUAGCGGCGGACGGGUGAGUAACACGUGGAUAACCUACCUAUAAGACUGGGAUAACUUCGGGAAACCGGCGCUAAUACCGGAUAAUAUAUUGAACCGCAUGGUUCAAUAGUGAAAGACGGUUUUGCUGUCACUUAUAGAUGGAUCCGCGCCGCAUUAGCUAGUUGGUAAGGUAACGGCUUACCAAGGCAACGAUGCGUAGCCGAGCUGAGAGGGUGAUCGGCCACACGGGAACUGAGACACGGUCCAGACUCCUACGGGAGGCAGCAGUAGGGAAUCUUCCGCAAUGGGCGAAAGCCUGACGGAGCAACGCCGCGUGAGUGAUGAAGGUCUUCGGAUCGUAAAACUCUGUUAUUAGGGAAGAACAAAUGUGUAAGUAACUAUGCACGUCUUGACGGUACCUAAUCAGAAAGCCACGGCUAACUACGUG